This 2930-nucleotide ribosomal RNA is filed under the name Brevibacillus agri. RNAcentral's name for it is "23S ribosomal RNA". It matches the Rfam family "Bacterial large subunit ribosomal RNA". The record is from RNAcentral. Lineage: Bacteria; Bacillati; Bacillota; Bacilli; Caryophanales; Paenibacillaceae.
GGUUAAGUUACUAAGGGCACACGGUGGAUGCCUUGGCGCUAGGAGCCGAAGAAGGACGCAGCGAACUGCGAUAAGCCUCGGGGAGCGGUAAGCACGCUUUGAUCCGGGGAUCUCCGAAUGGGGCAACCCACCAUCUGUAAUGGGAUGGUAUCCUUCACUGAAUCCAUAGGUGAUGAGAGGGCAGACCCGGUGAACUGAAACAUCUAAGUAGCCGGAGGAAGAGAAAACAAUAGUGAUUCCGUCAGUAGUGGCGAGCGAACGCGGAAGAGCCUAAACCGUCGGGUUUACCCGGCGGGGUUGUGGGGCGUCUCACAUGGAGUUACAAAGGAUGGAUGUAGAUGAACAGUCUGGGAAGGCUGACCAAAGAGCGUGACAGUCGCGUAAUCCAAACAUCCAUCCCUCCGAGACCAACCCCGAGUAGCGCGGGACACGUGAAAUCCCGUGUGAAUCUGGCAGGACCAUCUGCUAAGGCUAAAUACUACCUAGCGACCGAUAGUGAACCAGUACCGUGAGGGAAAGGUGAAAAGCACCCCGGGAGGGGAGUGAAACAGUACCUGAAACCGUGUGCUUACAAAUAGUCGGAGCUCGUUAAAAGAGUGACGGCGUGCCUUUUGUAGAAUGAACCGGCGAGUUACGGUAGCGUGCGAGGUUAAGUCGAAGAGACGGAGCCGCAGCGAAAGCGAGUCUGAAUAGGGCGCAAGUACGUUGCCGUAGACCCGAAACCGUGUGAUCUAGCCAUGUCCAGGGUGAAGGUAGGGUAACACCUACUGGAGGCCCGAACCCACGCACGUUGAAAAGUGCGGGGAUGAGGUGUGGCUAGCGGUGAAAUUCCAAUCGAACUCGGAGAUAGCUGGUUCUCCCCGAAAUAGCUUUAGGGCUAGCCUCGGAAUUAGAGUCUUGGAGGUAGAGCACUGAUUGGGCUAGGGGCCCUCAUCGGGUUACCGAACUCAGUCAAACUCCGAAUGCCAAUGACUUAUGUCCGGGAGUCAGACGGUGAGUGCUAAGAUCCAUCGUCAAAAGGGAAACAGCCCAGACCAUCAGCUAAGGUCCCCAAGUAUACGUUAAGUGGGAAACGAUGUGGAGUUGCCCAGACAACCAGGAUGUUGGCUUAGAAGCAGCCACCAUUUAAAGAGUGCGUAAUAGCUCACUGGUCGAGUGACUCUGCGCGGAAAAUGUAACGGGGCUAAACGUAUCACCGAAGCUAUGGCAGUCCUUAUGGACUGGGUAGGGGAGCGUUCCAAGCAGCGGUGAAGCCGUACUGGAAAGAGCGGUGGAGCGCUUGGAAGUGAGAAUGCCGGUGUAAGUAGCGAAAAGACAAGUGAGAAUCUUGUCCACCGAAAGCCUAAGGGUUCCUGGGGAAGGCUCGUCCUCCCAGGGUUAGUCGGGACCUAAGCUGAGGCCGAAAGGCGUAGGCGAUGGACAACAGGUUGAUAUUCCUGUACCACCUCUGUUCCGCUUGAGUGAGUGGCGUGACGCAGGAGGAUAGGGUGAGCGGCCUACUGGAUGGCCGUCCAAGCAGUAAGCCUGGUGUGUAGGCAAAUCCGCACACCGCUAAGGGCAAGCUGUGAUGGCGAGGGAAAUUUUAGUACCGAAGUCCCUGAUUUCACACUGCCAAGAAAAGCGUCUAGCGAGGAACAAGGUGCCCGUACCGCAAACCGACACAGGUAGGCGAGGAGAGAAUCCUAAGGUGCGCGGGAUAACUCUUGCUAAGGAACUCGGCAAAAUGGCCCCGUAACUUCGGGAGAAGGGGCGCCCCGGUAGGGUUCAUAGCCCGAGGGGGCCGCAGUGAAAAGGCCCAAGCGACUGUUUAGCAAAAACACAGGUCUCUGCGAAGCCGCAAGGCGAAGUAUAGGGGCUGACGCCUGCCCGGUGCUGGAAGGUUAAGGGGAUGAGUUAGCGCAAGCGAAGCUUUGAACCGAAGCCCCAGUAAACGGCGGCCGUAACUAUAACGGUCCUAAGGUAGCGAAAUUCCUUGUCGGGUAAGUUCCGACCCGCACGAAAGGCGUAACGACUUGGGCGCUGUCUCGGCAAGAGACCCGGUGAAAUCAUAAUACCUGUGAAGAUGCAGGUUACCCGCGACAAGACGGAAAGACCCCAUGGAGCUUUACUGUAGCCUGGUAUUGGAACUUUGUGCAUCAUGUACAGGAUAGGUGGGAAGCUGAGAAGCAGGGGCGCCAGCCUCUGUGGAGCUGUCGGUGGGAUACCACCCUUGAUGUACGGAGUUUCUAACUCGUCGCCCUCAUCGGGCGAGAGGACCAUGCCAGGUGGGCAGUUUGACUGGGGCGGUCGCCUCCUAAAAGGUAACGGAGGCGCCCAAAGGUUCCCUCAGAAUGGUCGGAAAUCAUUCGUAGAGUGUAAAGGCAGAAGGGAGCUUGACUGCGAGACCUACAAGUCGAGCAGGGACGAAAGUCGGGCUUAGUGAUCCGGUGGUUCCGCAUGGAAGGGCCAUCGCUCAACGGAUAAAAGCUACCCUGGGGAUAACAGGCUUAUCUCCCCCAAGAGUCCACAUCGACGGGGAGGUUUGGCACCUCGAUGUCGGCUCAUCGCAUCCUGGGGCUGAAGUAGGUCCCAAGGGUUGGGCUGUUCGCCCAUUAAAGCGGUACGCGAGCUGGGUUCAGAACGUCGUGAGACAGUUCGGUCCCUAUCUGUCGCGGGCGCAGGAAGUUUGAGGAGAGCUGUCCUUAGUACGAGAGGACCGGGAUGGACGCACCUCUGGUGCACCAGUUGUCACGCCAGUGGCAUAGCUGGGUAGCUAUGUGCGGACGGGAUAAGCGCUGAAAGCAUCUAAGCGUGAAGCCCCCUCCAAGAUGAGACUUCCCACAGCGUUAAGCUGGUAAGACCCCUCAUAGACGAUGAGGUUGAUAGGUUCGGUGUGGAAGCGCGGCAACGCGUGGAGCUGACGAAUACUAAUCGGUCGAGGACUUAUCCAC